UGUAGAAGGAGGAUCAUCUGGUUCUGGACCACAGUUGACCAGGGCAAUUGGAACCUCAGCAAAACUAUGGAUAAGGGCGGAACUACUGUGGAGGGAUUUCCCAUAUUACCUCCUGGCCCCACUCAUGCAUAGCUUCCUCUAUUAUAAAAAUUUCUCACCAGAGGGAAAACGGGAGCCAGAGCCCUCCCACCUUAGCAUCUUCACAGCAUACCACCAGCCAUCACAUGUGGAACCUUCUGAGAUGCAGUCCAAGGACAAGUAUCCAGGCUCAAGCAUCCAUUAUGUGCAUAGCCCGUGGAUUCCAGGGCUGUAUCAUGCAUGAACCAGAGACCCACAAAAUAGCAGUCUUGUUUGAAUAGCAUAAGAGGCCAAAGAUCUUGCUGAAGAAAGUACCUGAAGUAAAAAAAAAAAUCAUUCCUAGUCAGUUUUCUUUUUAAAACAUUAUUCGUUAUUUUUAAACCCUAGUAAAACAGAAAUGAUUCUUGAUAUAAUCUCUGGUUACCUUUCAUAAAGACGGGUGGGUGAUUCCUUCUGUGGAUUUGUUUAGACUCUGACUUGUUGUAAAAAGUAUUUAAU
This 576-nucleotide long non-coding RNA is filed under the name Vulpes vulpes (red fox). RNAcentral's name for it is "lncRNA (ENSVVUG00000011852.1)". Lineage: Eukaryota; Metazoa; Chordata; Mammalia; Carnivora; Canidae. The record is from RNAcentral.